GACGAACGCUGGCGGCGUGCUUAACACAUGCAAGUCGAACGGAAAGGCUCCAGCUUGCUGGAGUACUCGAGUGGCGAACGGGUGAGUAACACGUGGGUAACCUGCCCUGCACUCUGGGAUAAGCCUGGGAAACUGGGUCUAAUACUGGAUAUGACCUUUCUCCUUAUGGGGUUUGGUGGAAAGUUUUUCGGUGUAGGAUGAGCCCGCGGCCUAUCAGCUUGUUGGUGGGGUGAUGGCCUACCAAGGCGACGACGGGUAGCCGGCCUGAGAGGGUGAUCGGCCACAUUGGGACUGAGAUACGGCCCAGACUCCUACGGGAGGCAGCAGUGGGGAAUAUUGCACAAUGGGCGGAAGCCUGAUGCAGCGACGCCGCGUGAGGGAUGACGGCCUUCGGGUUGUAAACCUCUUUCAGCAGGGACGAAGCGUAAGUGACGGUACCUGCAGAAGAAGCACCGGCUAACUAUGUG
This 467-nucleotide ribosomal RNA is filed under the name uncultured bacterium. RNAcentral's name for it is "partial 16S ribosomal RNA". It matches the Rfam family "Bacterial small subunit ribosomal RNA", at positions 28 to 507 of the family's 1533-position model. The record is from RNAcentral.